UUCUUCACCCACGGGGCUUCUCCGGCACGGGGCUUCUCCGAGCACGGGGCUUCUCCGGCGGCUCGGGGCUUCUCCGGCACAGGGCUUCUCCGGCACCUGCCUCCUGCUGCGUUGCCAGCUGCCAGAGGCUUCUCCCAACACCUGCCCCAGGCUGUAAUUUUAGCGGGGAGCCUCUGAGAAUGCGGGACCACCCAUUUGGGUACCAGUCAGAAACACGAAGCCCGCAACUGACAGUCAACCAGAACCAGCUGAACCAGACUGAGAGUCCGCCUUGUUAGCAGACGCACCUGCCCUAUCAUCCUACCCUGAGAAUCUGCCCAGAGCCACAUCCAUUAUUGUUUUAUACUCCACCAGCUCUGGUCAGCCACUGGAACGGCCCACAGCCUGCGUGCGGUCACGCCAGUCCUGAUUACCACUGUUCCUCAUUCCUACCCCCAUCUGAGCAAGCACUCCUGUGGUCUCCUGUUUUGAGCGCUGGUUAGUCAAUGACGGGUGCAUUAACAGGGAGCUGGAUCAGAAGUGGAGCAGCUGAGUCUUGAACCUGUGUGGGGAAAUCAGUUACACGAAGCAAUUCAAAGAUGGUGUCGAGAGGAAGUAAGGAGUGCUGGUGCUGUUACAAAUUAGGUAAAGCUGCCGCCUGCAGUGCCGGCAUCCCAUAUGGGCACCAGUUUGAGUCCCGGCUGCUCCUCUUCCAAUCCAGCUCUCUGCUGUGGCCUGGAAAAGCAGUGAAAGAUGGCCCAAGUGCUGGGGCCCCUGCACCUGCGUGGGAGACCUGGAAGAAGCUCCUGGCUCCUGGCUUCGGAUCGCCACAGCUCGGGCCGCUGCGGCCAAUUGGGAGUGAACCAGCGGAUGGAAGACCCCUCUCUCUCUGCUUCUGCCUCUCUGUAGCUCUGUC
Oryctolagus cuniculus (rabbit) is the source of this 895-nucleotide non-coding RNA. The record is from RefSeq and is a predicted model, not a curated record. NCBI's taxonomy places the organism in Eukaryota, Metazoa, Chordata, Mammalia, Lagomorpha, Leporidae.